This 429-nucleotide ribosomal RNA is filed under the name Chloroflexota bacterium. Its description in RNAcentral is "Chloroflexi bacterium partial 16S ribosomal RNA". It matches the Rfam family "Bacterial small subunit ribosomal RNA", at positions 355 to 776 of the family's 1533-position model. Lineage: Bacteria; Bacillati; Chloroflexota. The record is from RNAcentral.
UGGGGAAUAUUGCACAAUGGGCGCAAGCCUGAUGCAGCCAUGCCGCGUGUGUGAAGAAGGCCUUCGGGUUGUAAAGCACUUUCAGCGGGGAGGAAGGCGAUAAGGUUAAUAACCUCAUCGAUUGACGUUACCCGCAGAAGAAGCACCGGCUAACUCCGUGCCAGCAGCCGCGGUAAUACGGAGGGUGCAAGCGUUAAUCGGAAUUACUGGGCGUAAAGCGCACGCAGGCGGUUUGUUAAGUCAGAUGUGAAAUCCCCGGGCUCAACCUGGGAACUGCAUCUGAUACUGGCAAGCUUGAGUCUCGUAGAGGGGGGUAGAAUUCCAGGUGUAGCGAUGAAAUGCGUAGAGAUCUGGAGGAAUACCGGUGGCGAAGGCGGCCCCCUGGACGAAGACUGACGCUCAGGUGCGAAAGCGUGGGGAGCAAACAGG